GCCAGCCGUAAAUUUAAGCAAAUAUGUACCAUUUUGCUCGCCAGAAAAUUACAAGCGAAAGCACAAAAUUCAAAGGACUUGACGGUGUUCCACAUCAGCCUAGAGGAGCCUGUCCUAUAAUCGACAAUCCACGUUAUACCUCACCCACUUUUGCCCAAACAGCCUAUAUACCGCCGUCGUAAGCUCAUCUAAUGAUAGAAUUAAAAUAAGCAAAAGUGUCCAUCACAAAAACGUCAGGUCAAGGUGUAGCUAAUAAGUAGGUACGCGAUGGGCUACAUUUUUAAAAUUUAAAAAUUACAGCAAGAAACAUGAAAUAUGAACUAUAAAGGUGGAUUUAGCAGUAAAUAUGAGCAAGACGUGCCAUAUUGAACAUAGCUCUGGAACGCGUACAU
Molecule: ribosomal RNA, 392 nt
Filed under: Phelsuma abbotti
Lineage: Eukaryota; Metazoa; Chordata; Lepidosauria; Squamata; Gekkonidae
Description: partial 12S ribosomal RNA
Rfam family: Bacterial small subunit ribosomal RNA
Source: RNAcentral